This 406-nucleotide ribosomal RNA is filed under the name uncultured bacterium. Its description in RNAcentral is "partial 16S ribosomal RNA". It matches the Rfam family "Bacterial small subunit ribosomal RNA", at positions 28 to 526 of the family's 1533-position model. The record is from RNAcentral.
GAUGAACGCUGGCGGCGUGCUUAACACAUGCAAGUUGAACGAAGUGGCGGAUGGGCGAGUAACACGUGUGGAAGCGGCCUUUCACAGGGGAAUAACACUGGGAAACCAGUGCUAAUACUGAAUAGUGAAAGAUGGCCUUGCGCUUGAUUAACUAGUAGGUGAGGUAACGGCUCACCUAGGUGAUGAUCAGUGGCGUGACUGAAGUUUGAUCGGCGGCAUUGGGACGGAGACACGGCCCAGACGCCUACGGGAGGCAGGAGUGGGGAAUAUUGGGCAAUGGCGCAAGCCUGACCCGGCAACGAAGCGUGAAGGAAGACGGUCUUCGGAUUGUAAACUACUUUUGACAGUGACGCGGUACCUGUAGAAUAAGCCCCGGCUAACUACGUGCCAGCAGCCGCGGUAAUUC